RNAcentral lists this long non-coding RNA (1898 nucleotides) under Olea europaea subsp. europaea. The record is from RNAcentral. Lineage: Eukaryota; Viridiplantae; Streptophyta; Magnoliopsida; Lamiales; Oleaceae.
CUGCUCUGCUUGUAUUUGCGAUUCUACUAAUAUUUAGGGCUUCACUGUGCUGCUAUGGCUUAUUUCUCAUUCGAUUUCUACGUUAUUGGAGGUUUUGCAGUUGAUUUAAAGGCGAGGCUUUGAGAAUCGAAAGAUUGCUGUUACUUCAGAAGCAUUUGAGUUUUGGGCACCCGAUUUCUUCAGAGUAAACCAAAGAAACGGUCCUGCCAUCUAAUUUAAAGCGUGUAUCGACUAAGUAAGUUCCACGACUAGGUGAUUCACCUAAUUUUUUCAUUCAUGUCUAUGGAAUACGUUGUUAGGACAACCAUUCUUUCCAAACGCUGGAAAGAUCUCUGGACCUUGGUCCCCUACCUUAAUUUUCAAUCUGAAGCAUCUGAUGAGUUAGAGUUGGGUGAGUUUAGACACUUUGUUAAUAGGACUUUGAUACUUUGGAGAGGUACAAAGAUUCAGAAAUUCACAUUGUAUUUGUAUAUGUUCGAUUUUAGUGAAUCUUCAACUUGUGAUUUCAGUUUGUGGGUCCGUUUUGCACUGGAACAUAAGGUUGAAGAGUUAUACCUGGAUAAAUAAUAUGAUCUGGAAUUUCUCUUAUACUCUAGUUCAUCGAUCAGAAAAUUACACCUUCUAAACUGUGUUCUAGAAGUUCAUGGGAAGGUACAUUGGGAUCAACUCAAGAGUUUAACAAUUGAAGGUGUGAGCUUGAAUGAAUUUGUGCUUGACGAAAUGUUAUCAGGUUGCCCUAAGUUGGAAAUAUUGACAAUAAGCCAUGGCUAUCAAUUGAGUAUUCAUUCCGCUAGUUUGAAGGAGCUAUAUCUUCUUUAUGAUAAUCCCUAUGAUUAUGUUGACGUAAAUACAUUGAUGAAAAUUUGGACUCCAAAUCGAGGAAAUUUCCCUUGUAAGCGCUUGCUAAUGAGCGUCCCAUCAUUGGUUUUGCUACCUUUGAUUCUUAUACGUAUCUCGAGCAUAUAUCGGACCAAGAAAAUGAAAUGUUGAGGGAAAUUUUCCAGAGCAUUUAUCUUGUUGAGAAGUUAUUGGUAGGAGAUUGGUGCUUUGAGGUUUGGUUUCUCUUAAUAUUUUCUUUUAUAAAAUUUAUUUACAUCAUUUGCAUGUGCUUAAUUAUUAUUUGAUUCUUGGCUCUACUUUUAAUAACAGGUGCUGGCAUCAAUGGAAAAGACAGAUUUGCUUUCUUCUCUUUUAAAUUUGAAAAGUUUGACACUAGAUACUUGCCUUAAAGAAAGGUGGACUUGCUGGAUUUCUGAACCUUCUCAAAAUCUCGCCAAAUGUGGGCAUGUUAGCCAUACAUAAUAGUGCUGGCUGCUCACCUCAGGUAACAAAUGAUAAGUUAACUUCUGGUUUAUGUUGUAUUACAAAUUCUGAAAUACGAACAGAACAAUUUUCUCUACAGGAGUAACUUACUGAAUGGAAUCGGCUCGGAGAAUCUCUUAUCCCUGAAAUUGAGGAAAUAGAGUUCCCAGAUUCCUUUCUAAUGCAUCUGAGGAUAGUUAAAAUCGAAUGGUUUUAUUACGAGACCUCGAUACUUCCAUUGAUAGAGUUCGUGUUGAAACAUGCUAGCGUGCUCGAAAAGAUGGUGAUUGAGGUUAGAAUGCCUAAAUCAGUUGGACCAGAGUGUUCAGUUCUUGCGGCACAAAAACUGUUGAGAAUGCCAAGAUCCUCUCCCAUUGCUGAGGUCGUGUUUCGCUGGUGCACUUACUAAAGAAGAGUUACUUUAGUAUAUUAUUUGUGACUUUUUAUUUGAGUGUUAUAAUUUUGUAAGUUGGAACUGUCAAGUACUACUGUGUGUCAAAUGUGUCCUGAAAGCAUGCAAUGGCUGUAUGCUCUUGAUGGAGCGUCCAUCAAUUGACUUCAAAAUACAAAAAAAUGGCUGUAUGUUCUUGUUGGAG